RNAcentral lists this ribosomal RNA (497 nucleotides) under uncultured bacterium. RNAcentral's name for it is "partial 16S ribosomal RNA". It matches the Rfam family "Bacterial small subunit ribosomal RNA", at positions 28 to 507 of the family's 1533-position model. The record is from RNAcentral.
GACGAACGCUGGCGGCGUGCCUAAUACAUGCAAGUUGAGCGCUGAAGGUUGGUACUUGUACCGACUGGAUGAGCAGCGAACGGGUGAGUAACGCGUGGGGAAUCUGCCUUUGAGCGGGGGACAACAUUUGGAAACGAAUGCUAAUACCGCAUAAAAACUUUAAACACAAGUUUUAAGUUUGAAAGAUGCAAUUGCAUCACUCAAAGAUGAUCCCGCGUUGUAUUAGCUAGUUGGUGAGGUAAAGGCUCACCAAGGCGAUGAUACAUAGCCGACCUGAGAGGGUGAGCGGCCACAUUGGGACUGAGACACGGCCCAAACUCCUACGGGAGGCAGCAGUAGGGAAUCUUCGGCAAUGGACGAAAGUCUGACCGAGCAACGCCGCGUGAGUGAAGAAGGUUUUCGGAUCGUAAAACUCGGUUGGUAGAGAAGAACGUUGGUGAGAGUGGAAAGCUCAUCAAGUGACGGUAACUACCCAGAAAGGGACGGCUAACUACGUG